GGAAUUAGCAGCAUACUUUUCUGAUAUGUUACAUUCAAAAUCUGUUAGGCAAGUAAUUUACGAGUAAUGCUUUUGGGAAUGGUUGAUGAUCCACGUGUUGUGCUCAUCAAGCUUGCAGAUCGCCUUCACAACAUGAGAACAAUUCAUGCUCUACCAUUGCAAAAAGCUCAAGCUGUUGCUGAGGAGACCUUAAUCAUUUGGUGUUCACUUGCUUCAAGAUUGGGUCUAUGGGCCUUGAAAGCUGAACUGGAAGAUUUAUGCUUUGCUGUUCUACAGCCUCAAAUAUUUCAAAAGAUGCGAGCUGAUCUGGCUUCCAUGUGGAGUCCUACUAGCAGAGCAGGAAACCUGAGAAGAUUCUCUGUAAAAGGCAAUUUGAUACAUUUGAAUGAGAACAAUUCAACUUCUUUUUACAACGGAUCCUUGACAUUCAAUGGGGAUGUGUGUACGAAGGAUCUUUUGGAAGCUGUAGUACCAUUUGAUAUAUUGUUGGAUAGGAGAAAAAGGGCUAACUAUCUCAAUAGUAUUGGGAGUAAUCUUGGGACAUGCACAAAACCAAAGGUUGUACAAGAUGCUGGGUUAGCUUUGGCAUCAUUGGUAAUUUGUGAGGAAGCACUUGAGCGAGAAAUGAUUAUAUCGUACAUGGCAAAAGAAUGUUAUGUUCUGGGAAUGGAAAUCACCUUAUCCAGCCGGUUAAAAAGCCUGUAUAGUUUAUACAGCAAGAUACUAUACACUUGUUCCUUCUAAAGAUGACAUAUGUAGUCACUUUUCCACCACUAUCAAUCUUCCAUCAUUACCGCUAUAUGACUCUGCCAUAACUCGGGAUGCUUCUCCAGCACCUUUUCAGGUCUUCAGGUGAAGCUUUAUCUCUCCUAGACUAGUGAGAAGCGAUGGCUGAUGAGAAAUGUACCCUUCAUAGUAGUAAUACUUGGGAGUUGAUUAUUCUUCCAACUGACAAAUCAAUUCUAGGGUGUCAAUGGUUGUACACUCUUAAAACAGGAUUGUUAUAAGGAUACAUACAAAUCUAUAGUCAAAGAUUAUUAUGACACUUUCUCUGUUGUUGCAAGAAUAUCUGAAUUAUAUAUGUAUAUUA
Molecule: RNA transcript, 1090 nt
Organism: Vigna radiata var. radiata (mung bean)
Lineage: Eukaryota; Viridiplantae; Streptophyta; Magnoliopsida; Fabales; Fabaceae
Gene name: putative GTP diphosphokinase RSH1, chloroplastic
Exons: 7
Source: RefSeq, a predicted model, not a curated record